Molecule: ribosomal RNA, 1441 nt
Filed under: uncultured organism
Description: 16S ribosomal RNA
Rfam family: Bacterial small subunit ribosomal RNA
Source: RNAcentral
CAGGCUUAACACAUGCAAGUCGAGGGGCAUCAGGAAGAAAGCUUGCUUUCUUUGCUGGCGACCGGCGCACGGGUGAGUAACACGUAUCCAACCUGCCCUUUACUCGGGGAUAGCCUUUCGAAAGAAAGAUUAAUACCCGAUAGCAUAAUGAUUCUGCAUGGUUUCAUUAUUAAAGGAUUCCGGUAAAGGAUGGGGAUGCGUUCCAUUAGGUUGUUGGUGAGGUAACGGCCCACCAAGCCUUCGAUGGAUAGGGGUUCUGAGAGGAAGGUCCCCCACAUUGGAACUGAGACACGGUCCAAACUCCUACGGGAGGCAGCAGUGAGGAAUAUUGGUCAAUGGGCGCUAGCCUGAACCAGCCAAGUAGCGUGAAGGAUGAAGGCUCUAUGGGUCGUAAACUUCUUUUAUAUAAGAAUAAAGUGCAGUAUGUAUACUGUUUUGUAUGUAUUAUAUGAAUAAGGAUCGGCUAACUCCGUGCCAGCAGCCGCGGUAAUACGGAGGAUCCGAGCGUUAUCCGGAUUUAUUGGGUUUAAAGGGAGCGUAGGUGGACUGGUAAGUCAGUUGUGAAAGUUUGCGGCUCAACCGUAAAAUUGCAGUUGAUACUGUCAGUCUUGAGUACAGUAGAGGUGGGCGGAAUUCGUGGUGUAGCGGUGAAAUGCUUAGAUAUCACGAAGAACUCCGAUUGCGAAGGCAGCUCACUGGACUGCAACUGACACUGAUGCUCGAAAGUGUGGGUAUCAAACAGGAUUAGAUACCCUGGUAGUCCACACAGUAAACGAUGAAUACUCGCUGUUUGCGAUAUACAGUAAGCGGCCAAGCGAAAGCAUUAAGUAUUCCACCUGGGGAGUACGCCGGCAACGGUGAAACUCAAAGGAAUUGACGGGGGCCCGCACAAGCGGAGGAACAUGUGGUUUAAUUCGAUGAUACGCGAGGAACCUUACCCGGGCUUAAAUUGCAGUGGAAUGAUGUGGAAACAUGUCAGUGAGCAAUCACCGCUGUGAAGGUGCUGCAUGGUUGUCGUCAGCUCGUGCCGUGAGGUGUCGGCUUAAGUGCCAUAACGAGCGCAACCCUUAUCUUUAGUUACUAACAGGUUAUGCUGAGGACUCUAGAGAGACUGCCGUCGUAAGAUGUGAGGAAGGUGGGGAUGACGUCAAAUCAGCACGGCCCUUACGUCCGGGGCUACACACGUGUUACAAUGGGGGGUACAGAAGGCAGCUAGCGGGUGACCGUAUGCUAAUCCCAAAAUCCUCUCUCAGUUCGGAUCGAAGUCUGCAACCCGACUUCGUGAAGCUGGAUUCGCUAGUAAUCGCGCAUCAGCCACGGCGCGGUGAAUACGUUCCCGGGCCUUGUACACACCGCCCGUCAAGCCAUGGGAGCCGGGGGUACCUGAAGUACGUAACCGCAAGGAUCGUCCUAGGGUAAAACUGGUGACUGGGGCUAAGUC